AGAGUUUGAUCCUGGCUCAGGACGAACGCUGGCGGCGUGCCUAACACAUGCAAGUCGAACGGACGAGGCCCCUUCGGGGACCGAGUUAGUGGCGGACGGGUGAGUAACGCGUGAGCAACCUGCCUUUCAGAGGGGGACAACAGUUGGAAACGACUGCUAAUACCGCAUGAUGCAGCGAGAUCGCAUGGUCUUGCUGUCAAAGAUUUAUCGCUGAAAGAUGGGCUCGCGUCUGAUUAGCUAGUUGGAGGGGUAACGGCCCACCAAGGCGACGAUCAGUAGCCGGACUGAGAGGUUGAACGGCCACAUUGGGACUGAGAUACGGCCCAGACUCCUACGGGAGGCAGCAGUGGGUAAUAUUGGGCAAUGGGGGAAACCCUGACCCAGCAACGCCGCGUGAAGGAAGAAGGCUUUCGGGUUGUAAACUUCUUUUACCAGGGACGAAGAACGUGACGGUACCUGGAGAAAAAGCCACGGCUAACUACGUGCCAGCAGCCGCGGUAAUACGUAGGUGGCAAGCGUUGUCCGGAUUUACUGGGUGUAAAGGGCGUGUAGGCGGAGCUGCAAGUCAGUUGUGAAAUCUGGGGGCUUAACCCUCAAACUGCAUUUGAAACUGUAGCCCUUGAGUAUCGGAGAGGCAGGCGGAAUUCCUAGUGUAGCGGUGAAAUGCGUAGAUAUUAGGAAGAACACCAGUGGCGAAGGCGGCCUGCUGGACGACAACUGACGCUGAGGCGCGAAAGCGUGGGGAGCAAACAGGAUUAGAUACCCUGGUAGUCCACGCUGUAAACGAUGAAUACCAGGUGUGGGGGGACUGACCCCCUCCGUGCCGGAGUUAACACAAUAAGUAUUCCACCUGGGGAGUACGACCGCAAGGUUGAAACUCAAAGGAAUUGACGGGGGCCCGCACAAGCAGUGGAUUAUGUGGUUUAAUUCGACGCAACGCGAAGAACCUUACCGGGAUUUGACAUCCUACUAACGAAGCAGAGAUGCAUUAGGUGCCCUUCGGGGAAAGUAGAGACAGGUGGUGCAUGGUUGUCGUCAGCUCGUGUCGUGAGAUGUUGGGUUAAGUCCCGCAACGAGCGCAACCCCUAUUGUUAGUUGCUACGCAAGAGCACUCUAGCGAGACUGCCGUUGACAAAACGGAGGAAGGCGGGGACGACGUCAAAUCAUCAUGCCCCUUAUGUCCCGGGCUACACACGUAAUACAAUGGCGGUCAACAAAGGGAAGCAAAGCCGCGAGGCAGAGCAAACCCCCAAAAGCCGUCUCAGUUCGGAUUGCAGGCUGCAACUCGCCUGCAUGAAGCUGGAAUUGCUAGUAAUCGUGGAUCAGAAUGCCACGGUGAAUACGUUCCCGGGCCUUGUACACACCGCCCGUCACACCAUGAGAGUCGGGAACACCCGAAGUCCGUAGUCUAACCCGCAAGGGAGGGCGCGGCCGAAGGUGGGUCUGAUAAUUGGGGUGAAGUCGUAACAAGGUA
RNAcentral lists this ribosomal RNA (1474 nucleotides) under metagenome. Its description in RNAcentral is "bacterial SSU rRNA". It matches the Rfam family "Bacterial small subunit ribosomal RNA". The record is from RNAcentral.